GAUGAACGCUAGCUACAGGCUUAACACAUGCAAGUCGAGGGGAAACGAUAUUGGAAGCUUGCUUCCGAUAGGCGUCGACCGGCGCACGGGUGAGUAACGCGUAUCCAACCUGCCCACCACUUGGGGAUAACCUUCCGAAAGUAAGACUAAUACCCAAUGACGUCCAUAGAAGACAUCUGAAAUGGAUUAAAGAUUUAUCGCUGAUGGAUUGGGAUGCGUCUGAUUAGCUGGUUGGCGGGGGAACGGCCCACCAAGGCGACGAUCAGUAGGGGUUCUGAGAGGAAGGUCCGCGACAUUGGAACUGAGACACGGUCCAAACUCCUACGGGAGGCAGCAGUGAGGAAUAUUGGUCAAUGGGCGAGAGCCUGAACCAGCCAAGUAGCGUGCAGGAUGACGGCCCUAUGGGUUGUAAACUGCUUUUAUAAGGGAAUAAAGUGAGCCUCGUGAGGCUGUUUGCAUGUACCUUAUGAAUAAGGACCGGCUAAUUCCGUGCCAGCCGCCGCCGUAA
This 508-nucleotide ribosomal RNA is filed under the name uncultured bacterium. Its description in RNAcentral is "partial 16S ribosomal RNA". It matches the Rfam family "Bacterial small subunit ribosomal RNA", at positions 28 to 523 of the family's 1533-position model. The record is from RNAcentral.